Triticum aestivum (bread wheat) is the source of this 2191-nucleotide long non-coding RNA. RefSeq lists it as uncharacterized. The record is from RefSeq and is a predicted model, not a curated record. Lineage: Eukaryota; Viridiplantae; Streptophyta; Magnoliopsida; Poales; Poaceae. The transcript is spliced from 3 exons.
UUGGUUAAAUUCACUGGCGGAGGAGCCCAGUGGGCAAGGUGUGGCAGCCGCCACACCUUGAUUUCCACCAAAUUUUUAUAUAUAUAUAUAUAUAAGCAUAUACUUUUCUUGAUGGAAAUAUUGCUUGUUAGUUUUAGACCACGCUAGAUCGAUUCACCCAAACAAAGCUAGAUGAAGCACGUAAGUUAGAUUGGAAGCACACAAGCAGGCAGCUUGAUUGAUGUGUUGUCCAGCACAUGCCCAUCUCACUAUGUAGACAGCACAUGCCCAUCUCACUACGUACGCGAACCAGCUCGCUUCCGCUGCACAACGAUUGGAUCGAUUCUCUCCGCGGCUCGCUCCUGAUGGAACUCGUGACUAAGCGAUCCAAAAACAGAAUGGAUAAAUUUUUGUUGAUGCGUGCAACAUGUAUUUUUUUUCUUAUGACAUAUAUAAUAGUACAUGAUUGACUUCCGCCAGCCCGCCCGCGGGCGAUUUUUGCCCUGAGACGCGCCGCCGUCGCCCGUCGGCCCAUCCCCGACCCCGCCGUCGGCAGCGCAAUCGUAUUCCCCGCCAACCUGCCGAUUUGAGUCUGCUAUGCUGAUGAUGGCCUGCCUCCGCCGCCGGCGAUUUGUGCCCAACAACACCGCGGCCCCCGCCCGUCCAUCCAUCCCUAACACCGUCUCGACCCGCGGCCUAUCGAAUUGGCUAUUAUGUUUUUGCAUCAAUUUUUUAUUGAGGGGGCAUCAAUUUUGUCUAGUUGACAGUUUGCCACACCUUAAUUUUUUUCCGUCCUCCGCCUCUGGUUAAAUUAAUGUGUCUUUCGUCAGCUUAGAUGUAACAGCUCAUUGUUUCUUUCUCUGAAUAUGUGUACAUUCAGAAGCAACUAUGAACAACAGUUUCGUUCUUUGAAUUAUGCGUAUUUUUAGGAUCAGAUGCUUAAAUAUCAGAUGAUGAUUCUACAUAGAUACACUGGCUUUUGUAUGACCUGAAUAGAAGCAAAUGAAUAUCAUCAAUUCUGAUGUUAAGGAAAGUAAAACAGAGACGCCAGUUAUUAACAUGGGCAGAAAGAGUAGUUCUUGGCAUCUUCCUCUCCCUCCUCACUUAUUACGAUUGAGUAGCUGUUGUCAAAGGCCAAUUAUAUCUGUGAUGCUAUGUCGACUUAGAUCUGGAUGUUGGUAGUUACCUAGAUGUAGGAGGAAACAAGAAAGACCACGCUACAACACUAAGUGGUGUAAUUUCUGGUAGUUACCUAGCUUGAGCAUGCAACUUGGAUCCCUACCUAUUAACUUUACAGUGUAUAUGCACUGAAAUUUAACUGCAUCUUAUGUUCUUUUUUUGUUGCUCUUGGCCAUCCAAUAUGUUAUCAUUGUUUUUUCUAUUUACUAAUCCAUAAGGUAUCCUGGCCAUUAUUAAUUGCAAGCCUUUUCUGCUUACAAACUUGUCAGAGUCUUGACUUUUCACUAUUUAGAUUACUGUGACAUGAAAGAAAAUGUUUUGCUGGAUGGUUGGUUUAUGUCAUCAUCUUACAGCAGAACAUUCGGCUAUUUGACCAUGCAUACUUGAUCGUGCUUUUGCUAAGUCUAUAGGUGUGAGCUGUUUUGCUCGUGGACAAUCUCAUGUGCUGGAUCUGCAUUGGAUGGCAGAUAAGCGGAGUGGGAGCUUGCAGCAGCAGCUUUAACCCCUUCCCAAUGAGCUUCAGGUCGUAGACGAGGUCCCGGCCGAGAAAAAACCUUGCUGGGUCCGAAGUUGUCCAGAUGCAUGGUGAAUGAUGGCUGAGAUAUGGUGCGAAAUGGAAUAGAAAGAAAAUUCUUGUGCCUGCAGGGAGCGGAACUGAAUGUGAUCGGGGGGUCACAGUCAAGAGAGUGCUUCCUUGGCAUGCUACCAAAGGGAAAUGGCACUAUCAUGGAAGUAAAAGAGAUGGCCAUUUAAUUAGGCUAGGCUCACAAGUAGCUGGAUUUUUUUGUGUGAAGAUGCAUCAGUGAUUUUUUUAGCAGUUUAUAAUGGUACUAGCCCCCUGUGCUUGUGGGUGCAGUUCCCUAAUUGCAGAAAAAUACCAGGUGCAAGUGUGGUGCUGGUUCUCUCCUUUGGCUCUUUGGUAUUGGUUCUCUCCUUUGUCUCCUUGUAAUAUGUGUUGGAUAUGUGUUCAUGGAUAUGUGUUGGAUAUAUAUGUGUUCAUGACUAUUGGUAACAUGUGUUGGAUAUGUGUUCA